CGGCGGAACACGUGGAAUUCCGUCGGAAUCCGGGAGGACCAUCUCCCAAGGCUAAAUACUCCCUAGUGACCGAUAGUGAACCAGUACCGUGAGGGAAAGGUGAAAAGCACCCCGGGAGGGGAGUGAAAGAGUACCUGAAACCGUGUGCCUACAAGUAGUCGAAGCGCGUUAAUGCGUAACGGCGUACCUUUUGUAGAAUGGACCGGCGAGUUACGAUUGUAUGCAAGGUUAAGUGGAAGACACGGAGCCGUAGCGAAAGCGAGUCUGAAUAGGGCGAUUUAGUAUGCGGUCGUAGACCCGAAACCGUGUGAUCUACCCAUGUCCAGGGUGAAGGUCAGGUAACACUGACUGGAGGCCCGAACCCACGUAUGUUGAAAAAUGCGGGGAUGAGGUGUGGGU
RNAcentral lists this ribosomal RNA (399 nucleotides) under Bacilli bacterium. RNAcentral describes it as "bacterial LSU rRNA". It matches the Rfam family "Bacterial large subunit ribosomal RNA", at positions 415 to 816 of the family's 2925-position model. Lineage: Bacteria; Bacillati; Bacillota; Bacilli. The record is from RNAcentral.